This 264-nucleotide ribosomal RNA is filed under the name uncultured bacterium. Its description in RNAcentral is "partial 16S ribosomal RNA". It matches the Rfam family "Bacterial small subunit ribosomal RNA", at positions 793 to 1055 of the family's 1533-position model. The record is from RNAcentral.
GUCCACGCUGUAAACGAUGAGAACUAGAUGUUGGGGGGUAUAACCACUCAGUGUCGCAGCUAACGCGUUAAGUUCUCCGCCUGGGGAGUACGGCCGCAAGGUUGAAACUCAAAGGAAUUGACGGGGACCCCGCACAAGCGGUGGAGCAUGUGGUUUAAUUCGAUGCAACGCGAAGAACCUUACCUGGUCUUGACAUCCUCGGAACUUGUCAGAGAUGACUUGGUGCCUUCGGGAACCGAGAGACAGGUGCUGCAUGGCUGUCGU